CACGCAGGCGGAUCGAUAAGUCAGGGGUGAAAUCCCGGGGCUCAACCUCGGAAUUGCCUUUGAUACUGUCGGUCUCGAGUCCGGGAGAGGUGAGUGGAAUUCCUAGUGUAGAGGUGAAAUUCGUAGAUAUUAGGAAGAACACCAGUGGCGAAGGCGGCUCACUGGCCCGGUACUGACGCUCAGGUGCGAAAGCGUGGGGAGCAAACA
RNAcentral lists this ribosomal RNA (207 nucleotides) under uncultured bacterium. Its description in RNAcentral is "partial 16S ribosomal RNA". It matches the Rfam family "Bacterial small subunit ribosomal RNA", at positions 568 to 774 of the family's 1533-position model. The record is from RNAcentral.